This is a long non-coding RNA of Condylostylus longicornis, 398 nucleotides long. RefSeq lists it as uncharacterized. The transcript is spliced from 3 exons. Lineage: Eukaryota; Metazoa; Arthropoda; Insecta; Diptera; Dolichopodidae. The record is from RefSeq and is a predicted model, not a curated record.
UUUAUCCGCAUAAAGCAUAAAUAUUUUAUUUUUUGUAAUUUUAAGGUUUGUAAUUCUCAAAAUAUGGACGUUGGGGCUUCUUUUGUCUGUUUGGUGGAAAAAGGUAUUAAUAAGGAUGUUGCAGAAAUUUUGAGAAAUUGCAAAACUGAAAACAUUGAUUCCUCCAGAACAAAACUUCAAUCGUAUAAAAUAUUUAAUGAACGAGACAUUUUAAAAUCGUAGAUUUGAAGUUGGAUAUUUAAACAUAUUGGAUACUUACCUAACAUUUCUUUCCUACAAGGGCACAAUUAUUGAAAAUGGAUUGGAGCUCUUAAAAGGUAAAAGAUUUAACAUUCAAGUAUUGGAAAACCUUAACUUAGAACCAUUUUAUAGGAAGGAAACAGAAUUUCUCCAAUAUG